Hylaeus anthracinus is the source of this 2850-nucleotide long non-coding RNA. RefSeq lists it as uncharacterized. NCBI's taxonomy places the organism in Eukaryota, Metazoa, Arthropoda, Insecta, Hymenoptera, Colletidae. The record is from RefSeq and is a predicted model, not a curated record. The transcript has 2 exons.
CUAGCUACACUGCGUAUCAAUAUAUAUGAACACUUGAAUUUCUGAGGUUUCAGUGCCUUAAAACAGUUUUCCAUAUAAACCAAUUAUAUUACGAUAUUCAGCGUGUCAAAAAAUCAUUGAACACCUAUUAUAUUUCAAUACGGGAAUAGCCAAAAGUCGAUUUUUAUACUGUAUCAUGAAAAAACGAACAUUUAUUAAAACAAGAAUUUUAUUAAAUUUCAUAUUAACUUCAUUUCAUUUCAUUGAAGUUUACCUUGUUCAAACUCAGAAAGAUUAGCUCCAAGUGGAGGUAAUUUCAUCUGUAUUGUAUAUUUUGCAAAAAACUAAAGUGCAAUAGCAAAUAAGGGAAGCGAAUAGUCAGUAGCUCCCCAGCUAAGCACUAUAAACUCAAUAAACAAACAAACAAUACAGUAUAAGGAAACAAUUUCGAAAAAGAGUACAAAACAUGAAUCAAGAACACUAAUAAUAUCAAGAAUAAUAGGCUUAUCAUUAAGAAUAUACACAAUUGCUUUUCAGAAGUUUGUAAAUAAUUAGUAGCGGUUGAACAAAUGCAUUUAACAUUACUUAAUAUUAUGGGAAAGUCUUGUUUCAAGUCUGUUUCCAAAAACUGAACAUUGGAAGGAUCUACUCUCCCACCAUUUGGAAAAACACGCUCCGUAUAAACUGGGUUUUGGUUAGAACAUUCGAGGGCGGGAUCUGCAUGCAUAUCGAAUACCUGCGAAAGAUCGUCGGCUUCCUGGCUGGAGGAGAAGGGAGAGGAAAUCUACCGGUUAUUCGAGACUUACCGCUGCCUCGAACUGCACGCUCCGCUUCGACCAGUCGCGACAAGCAAAGAAGGAGCGAACGCGUGUAGCAAUUCGAGAUUGCAAAACUGUCGAGGUCGCUACGGUUCUCCUCGCCCGUUUCCAAUACAGCCGCCAGUAUUCGUCCUGCUUCGCGAUCCUUUCUCGAAAAAUCCCCGUUUCCUGUCCGAAAGGGAGAAGUCACCUUGGACGCGUGACAACAAAUCAUAGCUAUAUUUCAAUUUUUUUUCGAAAAGAAUUGACUCAAUGGAAAAUCUGUUUGCUAGCGUUCACCGUACAUAUAUCGAGUAAUGCAAAAGUAACUUGUAUUAAGAUUUUAAAAAUAUAAUAGCGAAAAAAUGUAAUAAUUGGAGCCAUUAUGUGACAAGUCUUUUUUGAAUGACUUUCUAAUCGGCAGAGCACGGAUCUCGGGAAUGGUUAGACAUCAAAUGAAAAAAGAAGUAUUUUCAUUUUCCAAAUGACAUAUAGGGGAGAGUGGGGCAAUAAGUUACCCAAGUGAUGACACAGUUGUAGCAAAGGUUACGGGAUUACAUAAUCAGUACGACGUUUUACUUUUACUUACAGUUUAAUGAUGUACGAAAAUAUUGAAAAGCAUGUUACAUAGAAGAGACUACUGGUAUACAGGGUGUCCCAUAAAUGUUGUAACACAUUGAAAGAGGUGGUUCGGGAGGUGAUUUGAAACAACUUUUUCCUUAGCGAAAAUGUUGUCCGAGGCUUCGUUGUGGAGAUAUUAACGGAAAACACUGACCAAUCAGAGCGCGAGUAUGCCGAUGGAGCGCCAGCAGUAGGCGUGGCUAUGCGCUAGGCGGCCACGCUCAUACGCUAUCGCGGCCGCUCCAUCGGUAUACUCGCGCUCUGAUUGGUCAGUGUUUUCCAUUACUAUCUCCUCACCGAAGCCUCGGACAAUAUUUUUACUAAGGAAAAAGUUGUUUCAAAUCACCUCCCGAACCACUCCUCUCAACGACUUCCAACAUUUUUGGACACCCUGUAUAUCGCGAGAUGGCGCACGCACGCUGCCAACCGGAAAUACUUUAACAAAAUUUUGCGAAGUUAUCCCCUAUAUUAUGAUACUUAAGUUGUAUUAGCAUAAAUCAAUUUGAGCUACAGGGUGUCCAAAUAUUCACGUAUAAAGUGUAACGCGUUCAAUAUCUUUCGCUUGCUUGACAUAUUUUAUGUUAUUUAACCAAAAUCCGACUCGAAACUAUUAAUAAUAGUGAAAGAACUGUAUUUAACAAUUUAAAAAUUACAGGUUUAUGUAAUAAUAAUAGAAGUAAGCCAAAAACACUUUAACAUAAAAACAUGUAGCAUACAUAAAGGUAUCAUUUUAUUUAAGAGUACUUUGUUUGACAUAUCAUUUUCUUUUAGAACUAAAAUUUUAUUCAAGUCUGUUAUUAACUGUAAAAAAAAAUAUGUUUGUUAUUCAUUAAUGGUGACACACAAGAUAUAAAAAUAGGAAUAGGUUAUUAAGAGUUUAAAAUAAAAACACAUACGUAGUAUGGUUCACUCUUCCAUGUGAUAGUAAUUAAACAUCGAACAAGUGCGGUCGACUUUUUAUGACCAUGCGUAAACAGGUUUUCCAUAUUUCGAAUUCACAAAAAUCGAUUUUUGAUCGCCGAAAGUCGUUUUGUCCCGCUGUGCGUCGUAGUAAUUGGGACACGAAAUUUAUACUAACCUGUCCUGUUCCAUACAAAUCGUCGCUUUCACAACGUAGAAAAGUCAUGAUUCGUAUAAGGUCUGCACAGACUCGAAAAUACGAAUCUCUUCUGUUUUUUAUAAGGGGUCUUUCUGGCGCGACGACCGAAAACAUAAGCAUACUUUAGAAACUCUUUGGGAAGUCUAUAAAAUAAAGAAUAAUUCCAAUGUUUCUUUCUUCUGCUAAUAAUACUACUCAGAAAUAGUAUAAAAAUAUUUUUGUAUGAACUUUGAACAAAUUAUUUAAUGAUUGUGAUUACAAAAAGAUUCAAGUAGUUUAUUAAAUGAUAUAAGUGUAGUUAUCGUGUAAAGCAGGAUAAAUCGUGUCAGUGACAAAAUAAAAAAAGGAAUAUGA